CUCCGCGCCCACGGGCUGCGGUCCAGCUCCCUGCCUUCCCCGCCCUGGCAGGCAGAGCCACCCCUCGGGGUGCAGGGGGCCCCGCUACACGGGCUGCGGUCCAGCUCCCUGCCUUCCCCGCCCUGGCAGGCAGAGCCACCCCCUGAGAGCUGGGCUGGCACCAGCAAAACACGGUCGCUGGGUUGGGAUGGGGUGAAGCGGGGCCGCCCCCAGGAUGGGUGUGCUAAGCUAAAGCCAAAGAGUUCAGCCCUAGGGGGGAGGGGGGAACCUAUAACCUGAGCUCCACUGCCCAGGGCUGAAGCCUUUGGGCAUCGCCUUUCGGCCUGGGCGGUGGGGCAUGGCCUUCAGGCCUAGGCCCUAGCAAGUCUAAUGCCAGCCCUGGCAACUCCAUUAAAAUGGGGUCAUGAUCCACUUUGGAGUCCUAACCGAGUUUGAGAACUGCUGCACUAGGGAUACCCAACAUUUGCUAUCUCUAAAACAGCUGUGCAUGCACCACUGCAUUUACUUCAGAGUGACGUGUUGUACAGACUGGUCAAUAAGUCUGGCAAAAGGUUUACAGCUGUGCUACAGGCACUGACUUUCCAAUGUGUUGGAGGGUGCUUGACCCCGCCACCUCUACCCUCAGCUCCACCCUCCCGUCUUUCCACCCCAUUCCACCCCCCAAGCACACCUUGUACUUUCUCCUCCCUCUUUUCCCCCCAGAGCCUCCUGCAUGCCACGAAACAGCUGAUUGCAGCAGGCAUGCCACUGGAGGACAUAACAAUCCUGGAGGUUCCUGUCUGCAAAGGGACAUAGGAGCAACCCACCCAUGUAUACCAAAGAUGUUUUCAAGUUUAUGGUAACUGAGCAACACAUCUACAAAUGGAAUGGCUGGUGACUUACAGAUGGAGGCCCGGAAGACAUGCCCUUUCCCAAAAUGUUACUACCCAUCUGGAGUGCCUACUCUGGGAAAAAGUUUGCAGCUAUCAGCACCAUGCAUUGGUCAAAAUUCUUGGUGGGAUUAACAGGGUGUUGUGCUAGCAUCCACUUGGCUUACUGCCUCCCUGUAAGCUGCUGAAGUCUCUCUGCAUUCAUGCAGUUACCCGGGUGCAGCUAUGGCUUAUGAUAUCACCUGCUCAGACUAUAUCUACCUAUGGACCACAAACAAACACACGGGACAAUACAGACUCUCAGAGAACUGCACAGCCAUCACCGCCCCCUCCCCCCCUUUGCCAGCACAUUUCUGGACUGCAUACAAACCCCCUCCCCGCCACAUACACACCAUAUUUCAGACAGGAUUUCCCAUCCCCCAUACAGUUUACAGUUUAGCUUGAUCAAUUUGUACAGUGUGGCUUACUAUAAAAGAAAGCAAUAUAAAAGUUCUUAUUUUUAAUACCAAAAGCACAUCUUUGUAAGAAUGUGAGAGUAUCUAGUAAAAAUGUCAUUGUA
Mauremys reevesii (Reeves's turtle) is the source of this 1428-nucleotide long non-coding RNA. RefSeq lists it as uncharacterized. Lineage: Eukaryota; Metazoa; Chordata; Testudines; Geoemydidae. The transcript has 2 exons. The record is from RefSeq and is a predicted model, not a curated record.